RNAcentral lists this unclassified non-coding RNA (332 nucleotides) under soil metagenome. Its description in RNAcentral is "partial contains 5.8S ribosomal RNA, internal transcribed spacer 2, and large subunit ribosomal RNA". The stretch from base 1 to 120 matches the Rfam family "5.8S ribosomal RNA", at positions 35 to 154 of the family's 154-position model. The record is from RNAcentral.
GAUGAAGAACGUAGCGAAAUGCGAUAAGUAAUGUGAAUUGCAGAAUUCAGUGAAUCAUCGAAUCUUUGAACGCACAUUGCGCCCCUUGGUAUUCCGAGGGGCAUGCCUGUUCGAGCGUCAUUUCAACCCUCAAGCACAGCUUGGUGUUGGGACUCGCGUUAAUUCGCGUUCCUCAAAUUGAUUGGCGGUCACGUCGAGCUUCCAUAGCGUAGUAGUAAAACCCUCGUUACUGGUAAUCGUCGCGGCCACGCCGUUAAACCCCAACUUCUGAAUGUUGACCUCGGAUCAGGUAGGAAUACCCGCUGAACUUAAGCAUAUCAAUAAGCGGAGGA